This 515-nucleotide long non-coding RNA is filed under the name Citrus sinensis (sweet orange). RNAcentral describes it as "long non-coding RNA (CSIN_LNC003000)". Lineage: Eukaryota; Viridiplantae; Streptophyta; Magnoliopsida; Sapindales; Rutaceae. The record is from RNAcentral.
UUUCUUCUUCUACCAGGAGGUAUGCAGCUUCAUACAGAGCUAACAUUCCUUUGCAUUCGUCACUGUGGCUUGAUAACUUAAAGCUCCCCUUCUCAUCCAUGAAACGUGAAAAACUUUCUACAAGCACAUGUACAUACAUGUGCAUGCAUGCAUUUCAAUCAUUCGUAUAAAUUAGUAAAUAAUCGAGCUCAAAGAACUAAAAUGAAUGUCUUUCAAGAUCGAUGAAUAAAGAAUGUAAAUUUUUACAAAAAUGCUAAGGAGACGUAAGCACAUUCGGAAACAGUGAUAAACCGAUGCCAGCAAUUUACCUUUGUUUUUCAAUUAAGUAAACCGGCAUUAGUUUUUUGGUGUUUCUAUUAUUUUUUUGUUUAAGUAUCAUUGCACGAAAUUGCGUGAAUGCGUACCUUUUACAGGUGUAUUGUAACCAUAUUGCCUUAGGAUUCUAAAUUUGAGUGCUGUGGCAUAUAAACUUUUAUUAGUAUUCUUGUUGUGUAUCCUAUCCAAAGUUCUUUUUA